GAUGAACGCUGGCGGCGUGCCUAAUACAUGCAAGUCGAGCGAACAGACGAGGAGCUUGCUCCUCUGACGUUAGCGGCGGACGGGUGAGUAACACGUGGAUAACCUACCUAUAAGACUGGGAUAACUUCGGGAAACCGGAGCUAAUACCGGAUAAUAUAUUGAACCGCAUGGUUCAAUAGUGAAAGACGGUUUUGCUGUCACUUAUAGAUGGCUCCGCGCCGCAUUAGCUAGUUGGUAAGGUAACGGCUUACCAAGGCAACGAUGCGUAGCCGACCUGAGAGGGUCGUCGCCCACACUGGCUGUGAGACACGGUCCAGACUCCUACGGGAGGCAGCAGUAGGGAAUCUUCCGCAAUGGGCGAAAGCCUGACGGAGCAACGCCGCGUGAGUGAUGAAGGUCUUCGGAUCGUAAAACUCUGUUAUUAGGGAAGAACAAAUGUGUAAGUAACUAUGCACGUCUUGACGGUACCUAAUCAGAAAGCCACGGCUAACUACGUG
This 497-nucleotide ribosomal RNA is filed under the name uncultured bacterium. RNAcentral's name for it is "partial 16S ribosomal RNA". It matches the Rfam family "Bacterial small subunit ribosomal RNA", at positions 28 to 507 of the family's 1533-position model. The record is from RNAcentral.